This is a long non-coding RNA of Oncorhynchus keta (chum salmon), 1505 nucleotides long. RefSeq lists it as uncharacterized. Lineage: Eukaryota; Metazoa; Chordata; Actinopteri; Salmoniformes; Salmonidae. The transcript has 10 exons. The record is from RefSeq and is a predicted model, not a curated record.
AGUUACAGCCAGGGUGAUUAUGACCAGAGUUACAGCCAGGGUUGAUUAUGACCAGGGUUACAACCAGGGGUGAUUAUGACCAGGGUUACAGCCAGGGUUGAUUAUGACCAGGGUUACAACCAGAGUUACAACCAGGGUGAUUAUGACCAGGGUUACAACCAGAGUUACAGCCAGGGUGAUUAUGACCAGAGUUACAGCCAGGGUUGAUUAUGACCAGGGUUACAGCCAGGGUUGAUUAUGACCAGGGUUACAACCAGAGUUACAACCAGGGUGAUUAUGACCAGGGUUACAAACAGGGGUGAUUAUGACCAGGGUUACAACCAGAGUUACAGCCAGGGUGAUUAUGACCAGGGUUACAGCCAGGGUUGAUUAUGACCAGGGUUACAACCAGAGUUACAACCAGGGUGAUUAUGACCAGAGUUACAACCAGAGUUACAGCCAGGGUGAUUAUGACCAGAGUUACAGCCAGGGUUGAUUAUGACCAGGGUUACAACCAGAGUUACAGCCAGGGUGAUUAUGACCAGAGUUACAGCCAGGGUUGAUUAUGACCAGGGUUACAACCAGGGGUGAUUAUGACUAGGGUUACAGCCAGGGUUGAUUAUGACCAGGGUUACAACCAGAGUUACAACCAGGGUGAUUAUGACCAGGGUUACAACCAGAGUUACAGCCAGGGUGAUUAUGACCAGAGUUACAGCCAGGGUUGAUUAUGACCAGGGUUACAGCCAGGGGUGAUUAUGACCAGAGUUACAGCCAGGGUUGAUUAUGACCAGGGUUACAACCAGAGUUACAACCAGGGUGAUUAUGACCAGGGUUACAACCAGGGUGAUUAUGACCAGGGUUACAACCAGGGUGAUUAUGACCAGGGUUACAACCAGGGUGAUUAUGACCAGGGUUACAACCAGGGUGAUUAUGACCAGGGUUACAACCAGGGUGAUUAUGACCAGGGUUACAACCAGGGUGAUUAUGACCAGAGUUACAACCAGGGGUGAUUAUGACCAGAGUUACAACCAGGGGUGAUUAUGACCAGGGUUACAACCAGGGUGAUUAUGACCAGGGUUACAACCAGGGUGAUUAUGACCAGGGUUACAACCAGGGUGAUUAUGACCAGGGUUACAACCAGGGUGAUUAUGACCAGGGUUACAACCAGAGUUACAGCCAGGGUUGAUUAUGACCAGGGUUACAACCAGGGUGAUUAUGACCAGGGUUACAACCAGGGUGAUUAUGACCAGGGUUACAACCAGGGGUGAUUAUGACCAGGGUUACAACCAGGGUGAUUAUGACCAGGGUUACAACCAGAGUUACAGCCAGGGUUGAUUAUGACCAAGGAUACAACCAGGGGUGAUUAUGACCAGGGUUACAACCAGAGUUACAGCCAGGGUUGAUUAUGACCAGGGUUACAACCAGGGGUGAUUAUGACCAGGGUUACAACCAGAGUUACAGCCAGGGUUGAUUAUGACCAGGGUUACAACCAGGGGUAUUUAUGACCAGGGUUACAACCAGGGUGA